CAGCAGCCGCGGUAAUACGGAGGAUCCGAGCGUUAUCCGGAAUUAUUGGGUUUAAAGGGUGCGUAAGCGGAUAGAUAAGUCAGUGGUGAAAGACGGUGGCUCAACCAUCGCAGUGCCGUUGAUACUGUUUAUCUUGAAUAUGGAUGAGGUAGGCGGAAUGUGGCAAGUAGCGGUGAAAUGCAUAGAUAUGCCACAGAACACCGAUUGCGAAGGCAGCUUACCAAGGCAAAAUUGACGCUGAGGCACGAAAGCGUGGGGAUCGAACAGGAUUAGAUACCUGUGUAGUCCCUGUCUCUUAUAC
This 301-nucleotide ribosomal RNA is filed under the name uncultured bacterium. RNAcentral's name for it is "partial 16S ribosomal RNA". It matches the Rfam family "Bacterial small subunit ribosomal RNA", at positions 509 to 807 of the family's 1533-position model. The record is from RNAcentral.